RNAcentral lists this long non-coding RNA (886 nucleotides) under Mus musculus (house mouse). Its description in RNAcentral is "predicted gene, 20268 (Gm20268)". Lineage: Eukaryota; Metazoa; Chordata; Mammalia; Rodentia; Muridae. The record is from RNAcentral.
AGAAUAUUGGGACAUUGGCUGCAUUACUUAUAGUUACAAAUUUAUUGAGUUGGGGGCUCUGAUGUGUCAGGCUCCUGUCUCUGUGAAUGUGACUCACUGUCCUAUCCCUUGUAGAGUUUCCUACUGGGGCUCCACUGGGCCACAAGAGCAAGCCUCAUUCAACCAAAACAGGCUGCCAUUCACGACCCCACAAUUAUCCCAAGAUUUGAGGAUUCAAAGGUCUUCUGAUAUAGUCUUUAAUUAAGGCCUCGGUCCUCCUCGAUCCACGGAAUAACUAAGUCCUGCUGGAUGGGACAGUAAAACCUCAGGUUCAGAGCCUGGAUCGCUCAUUGAAAUUAAAGAUCACUGAUACACGAGUACUCAACAGGACCCAUGGAAGAUUUGGAAGUAUAGUCACAGAUUGCUGCAUCUACUUUGUUAUGUGUGGACUCUUCACCAUGGUCAACAAGAAAUUUCCUAACUGAGAUAUUUUUCAUACCUUUUAAGUGAUAUAUUUUCUCAGCUUAUUCUUUCAAGGCUAUAUUGUUAAAUUUCAAUCUGUUUCUGAAUAUUUUUAUUUUCUUUUUUAUAGAUGUCCAGUUUUAUUCCAGAUUUAUUCCAUCAGGCUAAAACUGAUAGCUAUAAUAUGUAAAUUGUUUAGAAUCUAUUGCAAGUUUGUGACACCAUAGAUGAUCUUUAGAAAGCUUUCCAUAUGCAGUAAAAAGAGUAUAUUCUGUUUUAUGUCUAUUAUAGCCAUAUGACCUACAGUUUUUCAAGAAUAAUCAAAGUCAAUCACUUUCUACAAUUCUUCCAAAAAGUUAAAGAAAUAAAAUAAUAUCAUUUCCAAAUUCAAGUCAUCUUGUAAAGUCAAGAUUACCCUAAUUUUGAAGCCUCAAAAAGAAACUAC